This is a long non-coding RNA of Dreissena polymorpha, 429 nucleotides long. RefSeq lists it as uncharacterized. The record is from RefSeq and is a predicted model, not a curated record. The transcript has 3 exons. Lineage: Eukaryota; Metazoa; Mollusca; Bivalvia; Myida; Dreissenidae.
AAGGAAUAGAUGACAAAUACUACUUGCACUGCUGAUAUACAAGCGGGGAAACAAGCCAAUAAGGAAUAAGGUGAGAAAUAAUACUACUGAGACUAGGGAUAUACAAGCGGGGAAACAAGCCAAUAAGGAAUAAAGUGAGAUAUACUACUGGGACUACUGAUAUACAAGCGGGGAAACAAGCCAAUAAGGAAUAAAGUGAGAAAUACUACUGGGACUACUGAUAUACAAGCGGGGAAACAAGCCAAUAAGGAAUAAAGUGAGAUAUACUACUGGGACUACUGAUAUACAAGCGGGGAAACAAGCCAAUAAGGAAUAAAGUGAGAAAUACUACUGGGACUACUGAUAUACAAGCGGGGAAACAAGCCAAUAAGGAAUAAAGUGAAAAAUACCGCUGGGAAUACUAAUAUACAAGCGGGGAAACAAGCCACU